CUUGAGGGAGCCGAGGUACAGCGGCCGGUCGGCGGGGCGGUCCUUGCCGUACGCGGCGAUCAGCGCGUUCGCCUC
Molecule: antisense RNA, 75 nt
Filed under: Actinobacteria bacterium OK074
Lineage: Bacteria; Bacillati; Actinomycetota; Actinomycetes
Description: ASpks TB sRNA
Rfam family: ASpks TB sRNA
Source: Rfam by way of RNAcentral